GAUGAACGCUGGCGGCGUGCCUAAUACAUGCAAGUCGGACGGAGCGCUUCGGCGCUCAGUGGCGAACGGGUGAGUAGCACAUGGGCAACCUGCCCUUCAGAGGGGGACAACAGCUGGAAACGGCUGCUAAGACCGCAUAGGCGUAUGGAAGGCAUCUUCGAUAUGUUAAAGGGGCCACGGCCCUGGACAUGGAUGGACCUGCGGUGCAUUAGCCAGUUGGUGAGGUGACGGCCCACCAAGGCGACGAUGCAUAGCCGACCUGAGAGGGCGAACGGCCACAUUGGGACUGAGACACGGCCCAA
RNAcentral lists this ribosomal RNA (302 nucleotides) under uncultured bacterium. RNAcentral's name for it is "bacterial SSU rRNA". It matches the Rfam family "Bacterial small subunit ribosomal RNA", at positions 28 to 334 of the family's 1533-position model. The record is from RNAcentral.